This is a non-coding RNA of Heterocephalus glaber (naked mole-rat), 501 nucleotides long. The record is from RefSeq and is a predicted model, not a curated record. NCBI's taxonomy places the organism in Eukaryota, Metazoa, Chordata, Mammalia, Rodentia, Bathyergidae.
GAACAUGGCAGCACAGGAAGUCCUCUUUCAUGAGUACUGUGUAGAAGUCCUCUUCCAUGGGUGUCCUUAGCUGCACUAUUGUGGCUGCCUCAAUGUCCUGACUCUUCAAAAAUUUUAACUUUCACGAUAAUUUUGACUUUGGGGAAGAAGCAGAAGUCACAUGGUGCCAAAGCCAGUGAAUAAGAACUUCAAGAUAAAAAUAUACAGUUUCUUUUUGAAAUUAUAAAGUUGGAAAGAACUAAGUAUAAAGAUAACUGAAGAAGAAUGGGAUAUAGAAGACUACAAUUGGGCUCAGAGCAGGAAUACCAGAUGACCAAGGACUAAAAGCUCUAAAACUGUGAGGUUCAUUCUCUUUGGAAUGCAUUACCUGAAUGAUUUCAGUCCUAAGACCUCGCUUAUGAAUGGACUUUUGAGAUGAUUGUUUUUAUUUUACCCAACAAACUGUGGCUAUGAAUUCAUUGAAAAUUGCACCUGAGGUAAAAAGAGAGGGAGGGAAAAAUC